This 85-nucleotide transfer RNA is filed under the name Chloroflexota bacterium. Its description in RNAcentral is "tRNA-Leu". It matches the Rfam family "tRNA". Rfam says of the family: Transfer RNA (tRNA) molecules are approximately 80 nucleotides in length. Their secondary structure includes four short double-helical elements and three loops (D, anti-codon, and T loops). Further hydrogen bonds mediate the characteristic L-shaped molecular structure. tRNAs have two regions of fundamental functional importance: the anti-codon, which is responsible for specific mRNA codon recognition, and the 3' end, to which the tRNAs corresponding amino acid is attached (by aminoacyl-tRNA synthetases). tRNAs cope with the degeneracy of the genetic code in two manners: having more than one tRNA (with a specific anti-codon) for a particular amino acid; and 'wobble' base-pairing, i.e. permitting non-standard base-pairing at the 3rd anti-codon position. The record is from RNAcentral. Lineage: Bacteria; Bacillati; Chloroflexota.
GCGGGUAUGGUGGAAUUGGUAGACACAAGGGAUUUAAAAUCCCUCGCUAUUUGGCGUCCGAGUUCAAGUCUCGGUAUCCGCACCA